Molecule: ribosomal RNA, 322 nt
Filed under: uncultured eukaryote
Lineage: Eukaryota
Description: partial 18S ribosomal RNA
Rfam family: Eukaryotic small subunit ribosomal RNA
Source: RNAcentral
CCCCUAGACGUUCUGGGCCGCACGCGUGCUACACUGAGUGGAUCAGCGGGUCAGGUUGCGCGAAAGCGUUUCCUAAUCUUUAAAUCCGCUCGUGAUGGGGAUUGACGGUUGCAAUUUUCUGUCAUGAACGAGGAAUACCUUGUAAGCGCGGGUCAUCAUCCCGCGCUGAAUACGUCCCUGCCCUUUGUACACACCGCCCGUCGCUCCUACCGAUUGAGUGGUCCGGUGAGGCUUUGGGAUCUGAGCGGAAAGAGCGUUUCGCUGUUUCUGCUCGGAAAACUCAGUCGAACCUUAUCAUUUAGAGGAAGGAGAAGUCGUAACA